GUGGGAGGGGGCUUGCUCCCGAUGGCGGUGGUUCAGUCACUUAUUCAUCAACUGACCCACUGCUAUCGGGAGCAAGCCCCCUCCCAC
This 87-nucleotide unclassified non-coding RNA is filed under the name Pseudomonas extremaustralis. Lineage: Bacteria; Pseudomonadati; Pseudomonadota; Gammaproteobacteria; Pseudomonadales; Pseudomonadaceae. The record is from RNAcentral.